RNAcentral lists this ribosomal RNA (374 nucleotides) under uncultured organism. RNAcentral's name for it is "partial 16S ribosomal RNA". It matches the Rfam family "Bacterial small subunit ribosomal RNA", at positions 526 to 896 of the family's 1533-position model. The record is from RNAcentral.
GUAGGGGUCCAAGCGUUAAUCGGGAAUUACUGGGGCGUAAAGCGUGCGCAGGCGGUUGUGCAAGACCGAUGUGAAAUCCCCGGGGCUUAACCUGGGAAUUGCAUUGGUGACUGCACGGCUAGAGUGUGUCAGAGGGGGGUAGAAUUCCACGUGUAGCAGUGAAAUGCGUAGAGAUGUGGAGGAAUACCGAUGGCGAAGGCAGCCCCCUGGGAUAACACUGACGCUCAUGCACGAAAGCGUGGGGAGCAAACAGGAUUAGAUACCCUGGUAGUCCACGCCCUAAACGAUGUCAACUAGUUGUUGGGGAUUCAUUUCCUUAGUAACGUAGCUAACGCGUGAAGUUGACCGCCUGGGGAGUACGGUCGCAAAGAUUA